This 257-nucleotide ribosomal RNA is filed under the name uncultured bacterium. RNAcentral describes it as "partial 16S ribosomal RNA". It matches the Rfam family "Bacterial small subunit ribosomal RNA", at positions 524 to 776 of the family's 1533-position model. The record is from RNAcentral.
UACGUAGGGUGCAAGCGUUAAUCGGAAUUACUGGGCGUAAAGCGUGCGCAGGCGGUUUUGUAAGUCUGUCGUGAAAUCCCCGGGCUCAACCUGGGAAUUGCGAUGGAGACUGCAAGGCUAGAAUCUGGCAGAGGGGGGUAGAAUUCCACGUGUGAGCAGUGAAAUGCGUAGAGAUGUGGAGGAACACCGAUGGCGAAGGCAGCCCCCUGGGUCAAGAUUGACGCUCAUGGCAACCGAAAGCGUGGGGAGCAAACAGG